UACGUAGGGUGCGAGCGUUAUUCGGAAUUACUGGGCGUAAAGUGUGCGCAGGCGGCCGCGCAAGUCGAGUGUGAAAGCCCCGGGCUUAACCUGGGAACUGCAUCCGAUACUGGAUGGCUUGAAUCCGGGAGAGGGAUGCAGAAUUCCAGGUGUAGCGGUGAAAUGCGUAGAUAUCUGGAGGAACACCGGUGGCGAAGGCGGCAUCCUGGACCAAUACUGACGCUGAGGAGCGAAAGCCAGGGGAGCAAACGGG
This 253-nucleotide ribosomal RNA is filed under the name uncultured bacterium. Its description in RNAcentral is "partial 16S ribosomal RNA". It matches the Rfam family "Bacterial small subunit ribosomal RNA", at positions 524 to 776 of the family's 1533-position model. The record is from RNAcentral.